This 68-nucleotide ribosomal RNA is filed under the name Fusarium oxysporum. RNAcentral describes it as "partial 28S ribosomal RNA". The record is from RNAcentral. Lineage: Eukaryota; Fungi; Ascomycota; Sordariomycetes; Hypocreales; Nectriaceae.
CUGAAUGUUGACCUCGGAUCAGGUAGGAAUACCCGCUGAACUUAAGCAUAUCAAAGCACCGGAGGAAA